UACAGAGACUGCAAGCGUUAUUCGGAUUCACUGGGCGUAAAGGGUGCGCAGGUGGCCAAGUGUGUUAGGCGUGAAAGCCCGGGGCUUAACCCCGGAAUUGCACCUAAAACUACCUGGCUAGAGCAUUGGAGAGGGGAGCAGAAUUCACGGUGUAGCAGUGAAAUGCGUAGAUAUCGUGAGGAAUACCAGAGGCGAAGGCGGCUCCCUGGACAAUUGCUGACACUCAGGCACGAAAGCGUGGGGAGCAAAAGGG
This 253-nucleotide ribosomal RNA is filed under the name uncultured bacterium. RNAcentral's name for it is "partial 16S ribosomal RNA". It matches the Rfam family "Bacterial small subunit ribosomal RNA", at positions 524 to 776 of the family's 1533-position model. The record is from RNAcentral.